ACAAAACUGCCUUUUCUCUGAAGAUUCAAGCUUACAUGAAACUGAAAAUUAUUCCAAGGAGGUAAUGGAUAAAGAACAAGGGAUAGCCACUUGACCUUACUGACAUGGACCCGUUGUUUUGUUUUCUUCUUUGCUGCAUCAGAAAUCAGUUAUUUUGAGGCAAGAAUAGAAUACAACAUACAUCAAGUAGAAGUAAGAAUAUCUGAUCUGGAUCCAGUUAAAUAGCACAGCAGAUAAACCUCAAGAGUUUUUCUGGUCUUACAUGACAGUUUCUGUGUGGAAAGAUCUCAGUUUUCUUGGACUCAAUUAGUCACUGAAAAAGAAUGUUGCUCCUAUGGAACCAGUAAUUCCCAGUCCUUAACUUUCAAACCAGGUCCAAGAAAUAUAGUGUGUUAGAGUUACUUUGGUCUAGUAUUUCCAUGUUGGCAAAAUAAGACUUAUUAGUUAAACUUUCUUGUUAAGAUUUGAAGAAAAACACUGACCUGAACAU
This 490-nucleotide long non-coding RNA is filed under the name Bos taurus (domestic cattle). Its description in RNAcentral is "long non-coding RNA NONBTAT018252". The record is from RNAcentral. Lineage: Eukaryota; Metazoa; Chordata; Mammalia; Artiodactyla; Bovidae.